GAUGAACGCUGGCGGCGUGCCUAAUACAUGCAAGUCGAGCGAACAGACGAGGAGCUUGCUCCUCUGACGUUAGCGGCGGACGGGUGAGUAACACGUGGAUAACCUACCUAUAAGACUGGGAUAACUUCGGGAAACCGGAGCUAAUACCGGAUAAUAUAUUGAACCGCAUGGUUCAAUAGUGAAAGACGGUUUUGCUGUCACUUAUAGAGGGAUCCGGGCCGCAUUAGCUAGUUGGGAAGGUAACGGCUUACCACGGCGAGGAUGCGUAGCCGACCUGAGAGGGUGUUAGGCGACACUGGAAGUGGACCACCGUCCAGACUCCUACGGGAGGCCGCAGUAGGCUAUCUGCCGCAAUGGGCGAGAGCCUUACGGAGCAAGGCGGCGUGAGUGAUGAAGGCCUUCGGAUCGGAAAACUGUGUUAUUAGGGAUGAACAAAUGUGUAAGUAACUGUGCACGUAUUGACGGUACCUGGUCAGAAAGCAACGGCUAACUACGUG
RNAcentral lists this ribosomal RNA (497 nucleotides) under uncultured bacterium. Its description in RNAcentral is "partial 16S ribosomal RNA". It matches the Rfam family "Bacterial small subunit ribosomal RNA", at positions 28 to 507 of the family's 1533-position model. The record is from RNAcentral.